GAUGAACGCUGGCGGCGUGCCUAAUACAUGCAAGUCGAGCGAACAGACGAGGAGCUCGCUCCUCUGACGUUAGCGGCGGACGGGUGAGUAACACGUGGAUAACCUACCUAUAAGACUGGGAUAACUUCGGGAAACUGGAGCUAAUACCGGAUAAUAUAUUGAACCGCAUGGUUCAAUAGUGAAAGACGGUUUUGCUGUCACUUAUAGAUGGAUCCGCGCCGCAUUAGCUAGUUGGUAAGGUAACGGCUUACCAAGGCAACGAUGCGUAGCCGACCUGAGAGGGUGAUCGGCCACACUGGAACUGAGACACGGUCCAGACUCCUACGGGAGGCAGCAGUAGGGAAUCUUCCGCAAUGGGCGAAAGCCUGACGGAGCAACGCCGCGUGAGUGAUGAAGGUCUUCGGAUCGUAAAACUCUGUUAUUAGGGAAGAACAAAUGUGUAAGUAACUAUGCACGUCUUGACGGUACCUAAUCAGAAAGCCACGGCUAACUACGUG
This 497-nucleotide ribosomal RNA is filed under the name uncultured bacterium. RNAcentral describes it as "partial 16S ribosomal RNA". It matches the Rfam family "Bacterial small subunit ribosomal RNA", at positions 28 to 507 of the family's 1533-position model. The record is from RNAcentral.